RNAcentral lists this ribosomal RNA (973 nucleotides) under bacterium enrichment culture clone HB_69. Its description in RNAcentral is "bacterial SSU rRNA". It matches the Rfam family "Bacterial small subunit ribosomal RNA", at positions 8 to 916 of the family's 1533-position model. The record is from RNAcentral.
AGAGUUUGAUCAUGGCUCAGGACGAACGCUGGCGGCGUGGAUUAGGCAUGCAAGUCGAACGGUAUGGACCUUUCGGGGUUCAGAGAGUGGCGAACGGGUGAGUAACACGUAGGUUAUCUACCCUCAAAACGGGGACAACCCAGGGAAACUUGGGCUAAUACCGGAUGUGUGCAGAGCUUGUUUUUGCUGUUUGAGAUAAUCACGGAAGUGGUUAUUGAGGGCAAGUGAGAGCGGGUUUUGCAUAAAAGGUGGCGUAAGCUGCCGUUUGAGGAUGAGCCUGCGUCCUAUUAGUUAGUUGGUGAGGUAAUGGCCUACCAAGGCGAUGAUAGGUAGGCGGCCUUAACGGGUGGUCGCCCACACUGGGAUUGAGAUACGGCCCAGACUCCUACGGGAGGCAGCGGUCGAGAAUAGUCUACAAUGGACAAAAGUCUGAUAGUGCGACGCCGCGUGAACGAAGAAGCCCUUCGGGGUGUAAAGUUCUUUUAUAUGUGAGUAGUGCCCUUUAUAUGAAUAGUAUAAAGGGAGGGAAUUAAGCAUAAGAAUAAGCAACGGCUAACUCCGUGCCAGCAGCCGCGGUAACACGGGGGUUGCAAGCGUUGUCCGGAAUUACUAGGCGUAAAGUGCAGGUAGGCGGAUAGAUAAGUUUAAGGUUAAAGGCUACGGCUUACCCGUAGUAAGGCAUUAGAUACUGUUUAUCUGGAAUGCGGUUGAGGGAGACAGAAUUCCUGGUGUAGCGGUGGAAUGCGCAGAGAUCAGGAGGAAUACCGAAGGCGAAGGCAGUCUUCUAAGCCGAAAUUGACGCUAAACUGCGAAGGUGUGGGGAUCAAACAGGAUUAGAUACCCUGGUAGUCCACACAGUAAACGAUAAUCACUAGGUGUUGGGUUCUUAAGAGGACUCGGUGCCGGAGCUAACGCGAUAAGUGAUUCGCCUGGGGAGUACGAUCGCAAGGUUGAAACUUAAAGGAAUUGACGG